Molecule: long non-coding RNA, 825 nt
Filed under: Malus domestica (apple)
Lineage: Eukaryota; Viridiplantae; Streptophyta; Magnoliopsida; Rosales; Rosaceae
Description: long non-coding RNA (MDOM_LNC016319)
Source: RNAcentral
AAGCCACUGUAAAUCGCCAUGGAUUUACAUCAUUCUGCUUGCCUAAAAAAAGCAAACAAAAAAAGAAAAAAAUGGGAAGUAUAAAAUUCAAAUGACCCUUGAUGAACAUAACCCAGAAAUUUUCCUUGUAUUCCAUAAAUGCAAUAAAACAAAAGUCAGUGUCUCCAUUUUCCAAACAACCAAGCAAGCAAGCAACAAACUUCGAAAACCCUAAUUCGAACCAAUUUAGAACUAUAACCAAGUAAACCACUUAAUAAAAAAAAACCCACUAAUUUUCUCAAAAACCCAACAAAUUUAAAGGAUACAGAUGAUAAAUCCCCGUAAAUUCCCAAAUUUGAAAACCAGAAGAUAAAAAAAAGGCAAAGAGGCUUAUCUUUAUUCACUAAUCGGACACUAACAGAAAAAACUCUAAUUCAUAUUAUUCAGAUUACAAAUACACAGGGACCAUAUAGCUAAUAAUGCUAGACAAUUUGUCCCUAAUCCAACACAAAAAUUGUUCUGGUUAUACAUACGAUACCCGCCUAAAUAUCAACCAAUUCCAAAUUAAAAUGGAAAAUGAAACGGAGCAACAUAAAUUGAAUACAAUUUGGGGAAAUUUUGGGGAAAAUUAUCUCACCUGGAGCUCCGAAUCUCCAAGAGGUCCCGAUCCGAGCAGGCUCCGAAUUGGGUUGCUGAAGAUGGUGAUCAAGGAAGGGUUUUAGAGGUGGGUUUGAUCAGAUCAAAGCCGAAGCCAUUAGGUUUGGGGGGAGAGGAACACAGAGCCACUGUGAGAGAGAGAGAGCAUGCGUUGUCUUUUUCUUCUAUCCAGCCACUCGAUCGCAGUUC